This is a long non-coding RNA of Catharus ustulatus (Swainson's thrush), 300 nucleotides long. RefSeq lists it as uncharacterized. The record is from RefSeq and is a predicted model, not a curated record. The transcript is spliced from 2 exons. Lineage: Eukaryota; Metazoa; Chordata; Aves; Passeriformes; Turdidae.
CACUGUGACCCCACGGGUGACACUGUGACCCCGAGGGUGACCCCAUGUCACUAUAGGUGACCCUGUGACCCCCAGGUGACCCCGUGACCCCGCGGGUGACCCCCAGGUGACACUGUGACCCCCAGAACCCCCCCAGGCCCGGGGGGUGACACCGCGCCGGGGGUUGGGGACGCUCCUGUCCCCGCCGUGGGGGAUGGGCUGGCACCAUCCGCUGUCCCCGUGUCCCCCGCGCUGCCACCGAGUUUUUAAUUAAUGAACGGAUUCAUUAAGGAAUUAAUUAAUUAAUGGGGGGGGGGAGGG